AUGAAUCCCGAGCUUCUCAUGGCGGUAAACAACGGCGAUCACAAGCACCUGAGGCGCCUUCUUGGCGGGGAAGAUCAAGUUGCAUCUCCAGCCACCGCCACCGCCGCCGGCAUCGUCGUCAACAUCGACCACCACUCUACAGUGAGCUCCGCAAUCCUGCAAGGCGUCACCCCGGACGGCGACUCUGCGCUCCACGCAGUAGCAGCCUCCGGGGACGGCGACAGGUACCUGGAGAGCGCCAAGGUGAUCUACGGCAAGGCCGGGCACCUCCUGGGCGCACGCAACACGGGGGGAAGCACGCCGCUGCACCGCGCCGCCAGGGCGGGCAACUCCCAGAUGCUCUCCCUCCUCAUCGAGCUGGCCAGAGCGGACGGGACGAGCAGGGUGGAGACGAUCCUGAGGACGCAGAACGGGGUCGGGGAGACGGCGUUGCACGAGGCGAUCCGCGGAGACCACGCCAGCGCGGUGGACGUGCUGAUGACGGCGGACCCGUGCCUGGCCCGUCACCAUCUUGUCAGCGCCGCCUCGCCGCUGUUCCUCGCCGUCUCGCUGUGCCGGUACGGCAUGGCGCAGAAGCUGUACGAGAGAGACAACCAGCUGUCCUAUUCUGGACCUGGGGGACAAAAUGCUUUGCAUGCUGCGGUUCUUCGGAAUAAAGAUAUGGUGGAACUAUUAAUAGGAUGGAACACGCAGCUUACUAAACAAAGAGAUCAAUAUGGAAACACUCCUCUACAUUUUGCGCUAUCAGUUUUGGAACGUCACCCACAUGGAAUGCUUCCCAUAUAUGCUGUGCCAGUUAUAAAAGGAAAAGAUAUUACAACACUUCUGAAUAUAGAAGAACCUCCGUUGGAGCUCACCAGGCAACUAUUAGAAGCAGAUGCACUUUCAGCAUAUGAACCAGAUAAAAAAGGGUCAUUCCCCAUACAUAUCGCUGCAUCGUCAAAUAGACUUUCAGCCAUCAUUAUUUUAGUCACAAGGUAUCCCGGUUGUGCCAGUUUGCGCGAUGCUGAUGGAAGAACUUUUCUUCAUAUUGCCGUCAAGAAGAAGAGAUUUGAUAUAGUUUGGUACGUCUGCCAGACACCUAUGUUCACGUCAAUUUUGAACACACAAGACAAUGAAGGCAACUCUGCUCUACACCUAGCUGUGGAGACUGGGAAUUUGUGGACUUUUGCUUGUUUGUUUGUGAACAAACACAUAGAUUUAAAUUUACUAAACAACAAGCAGCAUACUCCGCGGGAAGUUUCAAUUAGCUCAAUUCCAACAGGGCUAUAUUGUUUUCUGAAUUCACGAAUUCUAAUACAAGAAGCACUAAUGUCAGCCAAUGCUACUUGUGAUAUUUGUCGCCGGGAUGACGAUGUGGAAGAAGAACAUAAUCCCAAAUUACAAGCAGCGAAUGAGGAAAAAGGAUCUAAAGUAGUAUCAGAUUCAACCCAAUUUCUUAGCUUUGGCAUAGUGCUUGUUAUAACGAUGGCAUUUGGUGCUACUUUUGCCUUGCCUGGGGGUUACAAAGCUGAUGAAGGAACACCGGCUCUUGCUCGCACAAAACAGUUUCAAGGCUUCUUGAUGGCAAAUGCUUUAGCAUUUUUGUGCUCAACAGUAGCCAUCAUAAGUCUUUCAUUUGCUGGAACACCUACAGUUGAGUUGCUGAUGCGCUACACACAGUAUAAUUUAUCCAUAUUUUUGGCUUUGAAUGCAUUAGGAUCCUUGGUCGUGGCUUUCAUAAUUGCUCUAUAUGUCAUGAUUACACCAGUUGCUGCUAUAACUUUUAUUGCGGUUAUUGUGGUGAUUGUUUCAACAACAAUCCUCUAUUCUGCCACACUAGUUGAGAAACUUUCUAUACUUUUAUUAGUGUUAUGUUUUAGAAUAGGAAUUCUGCCAGUACUAAGAUCUAGUAUCUCUAAAUUAAUUUUAUUUACUUGUUGGCCACUCAUAGUAAUCAUAGUCUGGCAAGAAACAUGCAUGGCGACACCUGUGAUUUAA
Molecule: ribosomal RNA, 1980 nt
Filed under: Triticum aestivum (bread wheat)
Lineage: Eukaryota; Viridiplantae; Streptophyta; Magnoliopsida; Poales; Poaceae
Description: partial small subunit ribosomal RNA
Source: RNAcentral